Molecule: non-coding RNA, 23 nt
Filed under: Cricetulus griseus (Chinese hamster)
Lineage: Eukaryota; Metazoa; Chordata; Mammalia; Rodentia; Cricetidae
Source: RNAcentral
UCUGUAAACUGGGUAUAUUUGGG